AUUGAACGCUGGCGGCAUGCCUUACACAUGCAAGUCGAACGGUAACAGGUUAAGCUGACGAGUGGCGAACGGGUGAGUAAUAUAUCGGAACGUGCCCAGUCGUGGGGGAUAACUGCUCGAAAGAGCAGCUAAUACCGCAUACGACCUGAGGGUGAGAGCGGGGGAUCGCAAGACCUCGCGCGAUUGGAGCGGCCGAUAUCAGAUUAGGUAGUUGGUGGGGUAAAGGCCCACCAAGCCAACGAUCUGUAGCUGGUCUGAGAGGACGACCAGCCACACUGGGACUGAGACACGGCCCAGACUCCUACGGGAGGCAGCAGUGGGGAAUUUUGGACAAUGGGCGCAAGCCUGAUCCAGCCAUGCCGCGUGCGGGAAGAAGGCCUUCGGGUUGUAAACCGCUUUUGUCAGGGAAGAAAAGGUUCUGGUUAAUACCUGGAACUCAUGACGGUACCUGAAGAAUAAGCACCGGCUAACUACGUGCCAGCAGCCGCAGUAA
Molecule: ribosomal RNA, 493 nt
Filed under: uncultured bacterium
Lineage: Bacteria
Description: partial 16S ribosomal RNA
Rfam family: Bacterial small subunit ribosomal RNA
Source: RNAcentral